CGGAAGCUUUAAUUAUACAAUUUAUAAGUUGAUACACCCGAAGGUGAGUCCUAAUUUUGUCCAAUCUGUCAUAACACCGUCGAAUUCCUCGUAGUCACCACACCUUUGUGAUUCCUGAACCUGGAGGGGCGCAAAACCAAAAUUGAGUGGGUCAGUAAAACAAUUCUUUUCCAAAUCCAAACAUUUCUCAAAACGUUGUAACCCCUCUCCGUAAAACUUGUAUACUUUCCUAGAAAUGUAAAAUAUAAAUAUACAUAUAUAUUCUCAAAACUUCAUUUUUACUAUCUCAACAUUUUUCUUUAUCAAUCAUACCAUGCCAUGUCUAAAUCUAUCACUCUAAUAGCCCUGUACGGUUGAACCUAGAGUUCAAAAUCUAUCACUCUCAUUCUGCCGGAGUCACCUCUGUGACCUGUCCGGCCUUCUGCACACAAGUUACGCUCUAGUGCUUUCUCAUCAAUCAUCUGUGCACAUAAUCUAAGAUCACCCACCAGUCGAAAUCUCACUAACACUCUACGACUGGCCCGUCGCACCCACUCCGCGUGGACUGUGCGACCAGCAUCUACUUGGAUCCAAGGCGAGCGUGCGAUGCGGUGAAUACUAUAAGCACUAAAUCAUGGUGCAGGAUUUGAGCUCAAUAUAUAUCAACAUCAUCAUAACAAUAUUUAAAUACUCACCUGUGCGUCCGCCGCACCAAUUCAUACAUAUGCAUCAUAUAUCAAUUCAUAUCAUUUCAUGCAUGGCAAUUCGAUUCACAUUUUUCAUAUAAUUUUAUAUACUUUUCGCAUACUUCUAUGCAUGACAUUUCAACUAAUAUAUCUCAUAUACUUUUAUACAUUUUCAUUUAAAGCAUAAUUUCAUGCAUUUUCAAUUUCUGGGAAAAACGGUAAGUAUAUAUGUAUACGGAAAACAAAACUGCCCACUCACCUGGAGUUCGCCCUACAACUCCCUAGCACAAUACGCCAAGGCGUCAUGACGAUCGGCGCCUAAAACAAUAAUCAAUUCAAACCUCAGAAUUCAUAUCGAUAGAAUAUAUAACUUAUAUAAAAUACGUCACUACGUAGUUCGAUCCGGGAGAUCCACCACUCAGAUUUUAAAUCCAUAACUUCCAGAGGUCCACAAUAUAUCUCUAGGAUAACAUCCUAAAAUUUCAUUACCAUCCAACGGUCGGAUCUCCGUCAAUUUCCAAAACUAAGUGACGGUUACAUUCUAUUUUAUGAACUUACAACUCCAAUUCCGGAAGAUCCGUAAAUCGGAUUCCCAAUCCGUAAGUUCCAAUAAUCCUCAAAUAUUACGUAUUACAACGUAUCAAAGUUUGGUAACGAUCCAACGGUCUGAUCAUCAAUUCACAUUUUCACCUACGCGCCAGGGAAGGCACGGACGUCGACAUAUUUUUAAAAUAAUUUUUUACUGUAGCACGCGCCCCCACGCGCCAGGGAAGGCACGGGUCCACGCGCCGCCACGCGCACCUUCUUCUUCCUUGGGUCGCAGGACUGGUUUUUCCGGCGGUCGUUUUUCAAAUUGCCAUAACUUUGUCAUUUCUCAACGAAAUCAAGUGAUUUAAAAACGAAAGUUGUAGCCCUUGAAGAGACAAAGAGAAUGGUACCUUGCACAACACCUAGUUCGCCGUGGUUUGGCCGGAAACUUCCUCGAAAGCCUCGGAAGUCGCCGGAAACUGGGUAUUUUUCAAAUGAGUAUAACUUCUUCAAUACUCAACGAAAUUGAGCAAAACAAAAAGGAAAGUUGUAGUACUUGACGAGACGAAGAGAUUGAUACCUACCUCGACUCCUAACGCGCCGGGGAUUCGUCGGAAAAAGCCUCGAAAGCUCCGGCCAAACUUUGAACUUGUCGAUCUCCGUGUUCUUACGUCCAAAAACUUCCAACGAAGCACUCCGAGCUUCCUUGAGACCUCACUAAGCUUCCUACAAGCUUGUUUUAGCCUAAAACGUAACCAUUUAAAAGAUCAUGAACAGUGCUCUUCACGAGAAUUUUGAAACUAGGGUUUUCCGAACCAAAACUUACCUGAAAUGGAUACCAUCGUGAUCGUGGAGGUUCCAGGAGUUUGAUGGUGGUCUUAACUCCGUCGUUGGUGGAAGUUUAAGGUUGUUUUGUGGUUGGUUUGUUCGAACGGAGAAGAAGAGUGACAGAGAGAGUGAGAGAGUCGUGGGAAGAGAGAGAGAGACAGCAUGCAGAAAAUAGGGAGAGGAUUGAGGGGUGUGGGGAUCCCACGUGGUCAUUUUCCAAUCCCCAACUCCAAACCACAAAAUUUUAACCUAAAAAUCUAAGUUCCAUCCUUAUUAAUUCCAUUUUAUUGUCACAGCCCGUCCCGGAAUUUUAAUUCCGAGGACGUGAAAAGACGAAAAUGCCCUUAAACGGGACUAAGGGGCGAAAAUUUAACAAUUUGGAUUGAGUUGGACACGUGGGAUCCCCACAUCCCUCAAAACCUUCCCCAAUUCCCGUACCUUGUCUCUCUCUCUCUCCUCCCUCACGAAACUCUCAGUUCUCUCCCUCUCUUUCGAAUUCACACGGACCACCACAAAACCACCCUAAAUCUAUACCAACGACGAAUCUAAGACCACCAUUGGAACCCUGAAGACUUCACGAUCACGAUGGUAUCCAUUUCAGGUAAGUUUUGCUUCGAAAAACCCUAGUUUCAAAGUUCCCGUGAAAUGGUACUGUUCAUGAUCUUUUAAAUGGUUACGAUUUAGGCUAAAACAAAAUCACAGCGAGCUUAGUGAGGUCCCAAGGAAGCUCGGAGUGCUUCGUUGGAAGUUUUUGGACGUAAGAACACGGAGAUCGACAAGUUCAAAGUUUGGCCGGAGCUUUCGAGGCUUUUUCCGGCGAAUCCCCGGCGAAUUAGGAGUCGAGGUAGGUAUCAAUCUCUUCGUCUCGUCAAGUACUACAACUUUCCUUUUUGUUUCACUCAAUUUUGUUGAGUAUUGAAUAAGUUAUACUCAUUUGAAAAAUACCCAGUUUUCGGCGACCUCCGAGGCUUUCGAGGAAGUUUCCGGCAAAACCACGGCGAACUAGGUGUUGUGCAAGGUACCAUUCUCUUUGUCUCUUCAAGGGCUACAACUUUCGUUUUUGAAUCACUUGAUUUCGUUGAGAAAUGACAAAGUUAUGGCAAUUUGAAAAACGGCCGCCGGAAAAACCAAUCCGGCGACCCAAGGAAGAAGAAGGUACGCGUGGGGGCGCGUAGGUCCGUGCCUUCCUUGGCGCGUGGGGGCGCAACUUUGUCAUUUCUCAACGAAAUCAAGUGAUUCAAAAACAAAAGUUGUAGCCCUUGAAGAGACAAAGAGAAUGGUACCUUGCACAACACCUAGUUCGCCGUGGUUUUGCCGGAAACUUCCUCGAAAGCCUCGGAGGUCGCCGAAAACUGGGUAUUUUUCAAAUGAGUAUAACUUAUUCAAUACUCAACAAAAUUGAGUGAAACAAAAAGGAAAGUUGUAGUACUUGACGAGACGAAGAGAUUGAUACCUACCUCGACUCCUAACUCGCCGGGGAUUCGCCGAAAAAACCAGUCCGGCGACCCAAGGAAGAAGAAGGUGCGCGUGGGGGCGCGUAGGUCUGUGCCUUCCUUGGCGCGUGGGGGCGCGUGCUACAGUAAAAAAUUAUUUUAAAAAUAUGUCGACGUCCGUGACGUCGAGUAGAUCACUGUGGUAUAUUCAUAUACCCAAAUUGAGCACCGUAUGAGAAAGUUAUUAAGGAUUGUUGUUUAGGUGUUCAAAUAACGUUUUAUAGUUUUUGCAUUUAGGUGAUAAUAUGAAUUGACGAUCCGACCGUUGGAUCGUUACCAAACUUUGAUACGUUGUAAUACGUAAUAUUUGAGGAUUAUUGGAACUUACGGAUUAGGAAUCCGAGUUACGGAUCUUCCGGAAUUGGAAUUGUAAGUUCAUAAAAUAAAAUGUUAACCGUCACUUAGUUUUGGAAAUUGACGGAGAUCCGACCGUUG
Molecule: long non-coding RNA, 3949 nt
Filed under: Malus domestica (apple)
Lineage: Eukaryota; Viridiplantae; Streptophyta; Magnoliopsida; Rosales; Rosaceae
Description: long non-coding RNA (MDOM_LNC009804)
Source: RNAcentral